RNAcentral lists this long non-coding RNA (411 nucleotides) under Mustela putorius furo (domestic ferret). RNAcentral's name for it is "lncRNA (ENSMPUG00000029544.1)". Lineage: Eukaryota; Metazoa; Chordata; Mammalia; Carnivora; Mustelidae. The record is from RNAcentral.
GCCCUCCUCGGGUCUUCCCGGUGGCGGCGGGGGGCCGGCGGCGGCUUUGUUGGCGGCCUCUCGGGAGCAACCUUGAGCGCGGGCGCUGCGACAGUGAUUUAGGUGCUGGCAUUGGAGCGUGAAGAUGAAGAAACAAGGCCCAGAGAGGUCAGUCCUGAAGACGUAACCUGGUCAGUGCUGAAGCUGGAGCUCGAAGCCAAGGAGUCUGGUUGGCGUGCCCUUGACCCUGACACCUGGGCCAGCCCAUAUGCACGUCUCCUGGGCUGCGGCCUUCCACAGCCUCCUCAGGGCUCUCUGGAACUUCGAGCCAGCUGCGACCCUGAGCCAAUCCAUCCCUGACUCUUGGAGCCCGGUUUCUGAGGAUCCAGCGAGAAAAUAUGAAGUGCUAGCCCCACCCUGCCUCCUAGAAGC